This 92-nucleotide ribosomal RNA is filed under the name Allosyncarpia ternata. RNAcentral's name for it is "partial 26S ribosomal RNA". It matches the Rfam family "Eukaryotic large subunit ribosomal RNA", at positions 1 to 90 of the family's 3401-position model. The record is from RNAcentral. Lineage: Eukaryota; Viridiplantae; Streptophyta; Magnoliopsida; Myrtales; Myrtaceae. RNAcentral also lists the same sequence under 4 other names.
CGCGACCCCAGGUCAAGCGGGGCUACCCGCUGAGUUUAAGCAUAUCAAUAAGCGGAGGAAAAGAAACUAACAAGGAUUCCCUUAGUAACGGC